This 76-nucleotide transfer RNA is filed under the name Rhodospirillaceae bacterium. RNAcentral describes it as "tRNA-Lys". It matches the Rfam family "tRNA". Rfam says of the family: Transfer RNA (tRNA) molecules are approximately 80 nucleotides in length. Their secondary structure includes four short double-helical elements and three loops (D, anti-codon, and T loops). RNAcentral also lists the same sequence under 1 other name. The record is from RNAcentral. Lineage: Bacteria; Pseudomonadati; Pseudomonadota; Alphaproteobacteria; Rhodospirillales; Rhodospirillaceae.
GGGCGAUUAGCUCAGUUGGUAGAGCAACUGACUCUUAAUCAGUUUGUCAAGGGUUCGAAUCCCUUAUCGCCCUCCA